RNAcentral lists this ribosomal RNA (497 nucleotides) under uncultured bacterium. Its description in RNAcentral is "partial 16S ribosomal RNA". It matches the Rfam family "Bacterial small subunit ribosomal RNA", at positions 28 to 507 of the family's 1533-position model. The record is from RNAcentral.
GAUGAACGCUGGCGGCGUGCCUAGUACAUGCAAGUCGAGCGAACAGACGAGGAGCUUGCUCCUCUGACGUUAGCGGCGGACGGGUGAGUAACACGUGGAUAACCUACCUAUAAGACUGGGAUAACUUCGGGAAACCGGAGCUAAUACCGGAUAAUAUAUUGAACCGCAUGGUUCAAUAGUGAAAGACGGUUUUGCUGUCACUUAUAGAUGGAUCCGCGCCGCAUUAGCUAGUUGGUAAGGUAACGGCUUACCAAGGCGACGAUGCGUAGCCGACCUGAGAGGGUGAUCGGCCACACUGGAACUGAGACACGGUCCAGACUCCUACGGGAGGCAGCAGUAGGGAAUCUUCCGCAAUGGGCGAAAGCCUGACGGAGCAACGCCGCGUGAGUGAUGAAGGUCUUCGGAUCGUAAAACUCUGUUAUUAGGGAUGAACAAAUGUGUAAGUAACUAUGCACGUCUUGACGGUACCUAAUCAGAAAGCCACGGCUAACUACGUG